AUGAUGCCUGCACGGUUUGAAGAACUGAAGAAAUCAGCUGCAAGAGCGGGUGCUCUUACUGAACUGACUCAGGCCAAAGCAUGGAUAUCUGAUCUUGAUCUGGCCGAUUUGGCAAACGGCUGCCCAAGCAUAAAGGAAGAUGGGUCAGACUUCAGUACUGAUGACCUUACUGCCAUUAUGAGGGAAAUGCGUCCACUGGUUAGUAAAUUGGUUGAAGAGACUGAUCUUUCAUAUUAUCAGUCGGUUUAUGAUGUCAACAAUAAGAGAAUUAAAGCGCCUGAUGUUCCAAAUCUUACUCCUCCAAUCCGUAAGCACACUUAUGCCCCUAAUGUUGACCCCUCCACACUUAUAAGUGAUGAAGCUGUAUUCAAAGCCUUAACUGGGAUUGAUUGGACAACCAUUUACUUCCAGCCACUGGGUAGAGAGGAGGAAGAUGAACCGGAACUAGAUGAUCCACAACCUUCAAGUCAACCAGGCCAAGAUUCAUAA
This 489-nucleotide ribosomal RNA is filed under the name Triticum aestivum (bread wheat). RNAcentral's name for it is "partial small subunit ribosomal RNA". The record is from RNAcentral. Lineage: Eukaryota; Viridiplantae; Streptophyta; Magnoliopsida; Poales; Poaceae.